This 775-nucleotide ribosomal RNA is filed under the name uncultured Neocallimastigales. RNAcentral's name for it is "partial large subunit ribosomal RNA". It matches the Rfam family "Eukaryotic large subunit ribosomal RNA", at positions 24 to 633 of the family's 3401-position model. The record is from RNAcentral. Lineage: Eukaryota; Fungi; Neocallimastigomycota; Neocallimastigomycetes; Neocallimastigales.
GUAGUCUCGCACAGAUGCAUAUCAAUAAGCGGAGGAAAAGAAACUAACAAGGAUUCCCCUAGUAACGGCGAGUGAAGCGGGAAGAGCUCAAAUUUGAAAUCUUAAAGGGUUUCCCUUUACGAAUUGUAGCUUAAGGAAGUGUUUUCUGUUGAGGUUUUGGUAAAAGUUCUUUGGAAUAGGACAUCAUAGAGGGUGAGAAUCCCGUAUUUGACCUUUACUUUCAACUCUGUGAUACACUUUCAAAGAGUCGGAUUGUUUGGGAAUGCAGUCCGAAAUGGGUGGUAAAUUUCAUCUAAAGCUAAAUAUUGGCGAGAGACCGAUAGCGAACAAGUACCGUGAGGGAAAGAUGAAAAGAACUUCGAAAAGAGAGUUAAACAGUACGUGAAAUUGUCAAAAGGGAAGCGUUUGACACCAUGUGUUGUUUUUCUGAAAAUCAAUUAAAGAACUGUUUAUGCUAAGUUGUUUAGACUUUAUCAGCUAACUGUUUAGUUUUGAGCUUUUCUUUAAUGCACUUUUCAGUUAACAAGUCAACAUCAAUUUCUUUUGCUGUAAAAAAGCUUGAGGAAGGUGGCUUGAGAUUCGUCUUAAGUGUUUAUAGCCUCUUGCCUAUGCAGUCGGAGAGAUUGAGGUCUGCAGCGUAGAUCCUUCGGGGCUAAAUGCAUUUGUGCUAAGUUAUAGCAUUUUAUAGACAACUUGUUGACUAUGAUUUGUCUUGUAGCUUACUCGCUUAUGUUAUUUUACCUACGCUUAGGAUGUUGAAGACUCUACAGAGAUA